Long non-coding RNA from Brienomyrus brachyistius, 2965 nucleotides. RefSeq lists it as uncharacterized. The record is from RefSeq and is a predicted model, not a curated record. Lineage: Eukaryota; Metazoa; Chordata; Actinopteri; Osteoglossiformes; Mormyridae. The transcript is spliced from 4 exons.
AAAGGGAAGCAGAGUAAAUAUUUACUGACGCAGCAGAAAUCGAGGAGGCCGACACCUCGAUGGAAACAAAGGCGGGAGGAUGCGGAAUGGUGUGCCAGGAAACUGGGAACAGGCCUGGGGUGGCACCGCCGGUGUCAGCGGAAAAAAAAAACAGAAAGACAAAAGAGGGUCACUCAUGUGGGACGCCACCCCUUGGCAGUGUCUGUCUCCUUAUUAAGCUUAAAAUUGUGUUUUCCUCCUCUUCAGAUAAGGAGAACCUCAAUAUCGACACAGCCUGAGUCAUAAGCCGAGCAUCCAGGAGCGUCGCCAGAGGAGAUAAACGGACCGGGCUGUGGGUUCAUUCCGAGGGGACGCACUCUCGCUUUUUUAAGAGGCACCAGCCUCCCCCCACAACGUCUCUGAAUAAGCCCCCCGACGUCGGGCUAGCGCGGAGCUGGCUGCCACAUGCGUUCCCAUGUUCCGGAAUGUUCCAGAACAGCCGACAGGAGGCGGAGACAAACGCUGUCUGCUCUAAGGUCACGUUCAUGCCGAUGUCUUUUUGCCGUCCACUUCUUGCUAAAAGUUAAUUAAUCUUUGACUUAAUCUUUAAAACAACAAUGUGCGUAUGCUUUACAUGUAUAGCUGCCAGUCACUUUGUUAGUCAUCAGGUGAAAUAUAAUCAAAGUCCAAAAUGGAAGCACAUAAAUUGAAAUUUCUUAUGAUUAUGACGGUUGGAUUCACGGCGAUUUCAUGAGUCAUUCAGUCAGUUACUCAAUAUAAAUCCGAUUACUAUACAAAAAAAGCAUUUAAUAGUUGUUUGAAUAAAGAAAUGAAAAGUAUUUUUAAAUGUUUUUCUUCAACUUCAAUUGUUCACACUAAUAUAGGGAUUUCACAUUAUUGUCUUAAUUCCACAUAAAACACACACAAUUACAUAUAAAUGUUAAAUGUUAAUAAAUGUUAGCAAGUCAAAAUCAUCUUUGUGUUAACAAAGUGUCAGUUGAUUAAUGGUUAGAAGAACACAAUAGCAAAUAUUUAGAUAGCUGACUGGACUUGUGCAGAAUGGUGAGGGCUGUCCUCACUGCUCUCCAGCACUAAGUAUUGACCACAUAACGUCAGCUCUCGUCUUAGAGCCUUUCGGCGCUGCAAUAAAAUAGAAACCUAACCUCAAUAUUUUCUCUCUCUGUUCUGGGACCUGAUGGCCCAUUAACUCCCCCUCCCACGUGUCAUCUCAAACGUUUCCUCUCUGAAAUUUUAGAAUAAUUAAACAUUCUUAAUGAUUUAUAAGAUAUAAUAAUAGCCAGGAGUCUUUCAGGGCAGGUUAAACCGACAACCUUUUAAGGACACUCAGGGGAUGACCUCGUCUUUAACACAGUUUUGGAUCGUUGACUCCCUGACUGGAAAAGUGAAUGAAACCGCUCGUAUUGCCUUUGUAGAAAUCCUCCAAUGUCGUAACUCAAACCAGAGAUGCUGGGAGAGCCAGCUGAAGACUGCUGCACUUUUAAUUAAUCGAUCCAUUCAUUUAAAAAAAAAAAGAGAAGGAUAAAAAAAGCAUCUUUAUGCCCAAGGUCAAAACUGGAAGAGGAAGCUAAUGACCAUCACGCUGCUUGUGUUUUCGUAACUUUCAUCGUUUAAAGGUCUCCCACCAGACAUCACACAAGACGCCAAGCUCAGCUUCGGGCCCUGGACUGUCCAGCCCUGCCUGCCGUCCUCUUAUCCUACUCGGUGUCGGGGACUGGAGCCUUUGCCAGCUGUAACUGCGUGUCUUUGGACUGUAUGGGGAGCCCUGAAGUGGACUUGGGGAAACGGGCAAAUUCCAUGCACAGAGGAAAACCAGAAGCGGGCUUUGAACCCACAACCAUGGAGGUAAGAGGCAACAGCACUGAGCCACACAAGUUCUAGCCAAAGAAGGAGAAUUUAUGUAGGGUAUCAGCAUGUAUGUGUGAACAUGCAACCUCAAUAUAAUCCGUGGUAUAUAGAGAGAGGAAUAUUAAUCAUUUUCUGUUGGUCAGGAGUUUUUUGAUGCUUGUAGUUAAUGGAGUUUCUCACUGUCCUGUUUCCAUUAGCCCACGCAGGUUGGUGACCCUCUGUGCCAUUGAUGACAGCCAGCCCCUGAUUCAGGAGAGUGGCAUGGUCUGCGUGAAGCCUGGCCUCUCUGGGUCACGCGCUACAUCACAAAGAUCUUGCUUGUGUUACGAGCUACAUAGCAGAAAUAAGCAGUGUUGGCCCACAAUAGAUGGCAGGCUUGCAAGUCUAAGAUCAACGAGUCAGUAGCAAACAUUGCCCAAUGUAAUCCCCAAGGAUACUUCAUUGUCAGUCAUAUCAUUACAGACGGAGGGCGAUUUCAUGAAGUUCCUUAGCCGACAGCAGACCAACGGAGAAAACAAGUCAUUGAUAUUAAAGGUCAGUUGUUCUACAGAUAUGCACGUACUUAAACGCAACAUCUAGCCGCCAAUCCAUCCGUCCAUCUGUCCAUCAUCGUGGGGCCUAGAGCUUCUCCCAGGCUAGGAGAAUACAAACACACACACACAUCAGCCACGAUGGCCAAAUUAGAGAUGCAAAUUGUUUUAAGACAUAUUUCACUACAGAUUACACUCCUGCUGAUGGUACUUGGAGUUCUAUUCUGGCACCAUUUGCCUCUAUUUGUAUAGUGAUUGUGGAAUAAGAGUGAGAGAGACCUACAGCGCUGCAUCUCCGUCUUGUCAUGGUAUGAAGGGUGACUUUGGUGGCCCGAAGAGGGACGUUCGGCGAAGUUGACGGCGAGAAGCUCUGCAGCAUGUCAGCUAUAGCUAGCAUAUGUUUCCGAUCAUUCAUCUGGUGCCUGACUCCUACAUUGGGGUCGGCAGCCCCCACCACCUUUCGCCUCCAGGAGGGGGGCCCGCCCACGGCCUUUAGUCACGCGCACGCGGGACGGCGAUGGCGAGCAAUCCCGUAAUUAUGAGCGGGGCUCAGCCUUCACUUAUUGAGUGCCGGACAGCAAGUGCAUUGU